This 429-nucleotide ribosomal RNA is filed under the name Chloroflexota bacterium. RNAcentral describes it as "Chloroflexi bacterium partial 16S ribosomal RNA". It matches the Rfam family "Bacterial small subunit ribosomal RNA", at positions 355 to 776 of the family's 1533-position model. Lineage: Bacteria; Bacillati; Chloroflexota. The record is from RNAcentral.
UAGGGAAUCUUCGGCAAUGGACGAAAGUCUGACCGAGCAACGCCGCGUGAGUGAAGAAGGCUUUCGGAUCGUAAAACUCUGUUGUUAGAGAAGAACAAGGACGUUAGUAACUGAACGUCCCCUGACGGUAUCUAACCAGAAAGCCACGGCUAACUACGUGCCAGCAGCCGCGGUAAUACGUAGGUGGCAAGCGUUGUCCGGAUUUAUUGGGCGUAAAGCGAGCGCAGGCGGUUUCUUAAGUCUGAUGUGAAAGCCCCCGGCUCAACCGGGGAGGGUCAUUGGAAACUGGGAGACUUGAGUGCAGAAGAGGAGAGUGGAAUUCCAUGUGUAGCGGUGAACUGCGUAGAUAUAUGGAGGAACACCAGUGGCGAAGGCGGCUCUCUGGUCUGUAACUGACGCUGAGGCUCGAAAGCGUGGGGAGCAAACAGG